This 387-nucleotide ribosomal RNA is filed under the name Onchidoris bilamellata. Its description in RNAcentral is "partial 16S ribosomal RNA". It matches the Rfam family "Archaeal large subunit ribosomal RNA", at positions 2000 to 2655 of the family's 2987-position model. Lineage: Eukaryota; Metazoa; Mollusca; Gastropoda; Nudibranchia; Onchidorididae. The record is from RNAcentral.
AUGAAUGGCCGCGGUACUUUGACCGUGCUAAGGUAGCGCAAUCAAUUGGCUUUUAAUUGGGGCCAUGUAUGAAUGGAGUAACGGGGUUUAGCUGUCUCUAAAUUAUUUUAUUGAAAUUACUAUUCAGGUGAGAAAGCCUGAGCCGAGAAAAAAGACGAGAAGACCCUUAGAGUUUUUCUUAAGUUAAACAAUCAGUGUUUAAAGCAGUUUAGUUGGGGCAACAUAGGAGCAGAUUUUUUUUAUCUCCUGAAUGCACAAGCCGAUAGUAGUAAAAAUGUAUAAACUACCUUAGGGAUAACAGCAUAAUUUUAUUAGUAAGUUUGUGACCUCGAUGUUGGACUAGGAAACUAAAAGGCUAGCCGCCUUUUCGGUAAGUUCUGUUCGAAC